This 232-nucleotide ribosomal RNA is filed under the name uncultured bacterium. RNAcentral's name for it is "partial 16S ribosomal RNA". It matches the Rfam family "Bacterial small subunit ribosomal RNA", at positions 99 to 334 of the family's 1533-position model. The record is from RNAcentral.
CGGACGGGUGAGUAAUGUCUGGGAAACUGCCCGAUGGAGGGGGAUAACUACUGGAAACGGUAGCUAAUACCGCAUAACGUCGCAAGACCAAAGAGGGGGACCUUAGGGCCUCUUGCCAUCGGAUGUGCCCAGAUGGGAUUAGCUAGUAGGUGGGGUAACGGCUCACCUAGGCGACGAUCCCUAGCUGGUCUGAGAGGAUGAUCAGCCACACUGGGACUGAGACACGGUCCAG